This 253-nucleotide ribosomal RNA is filed under the name uncultured bacterium. RNAcentral describes it as "partial 16S ribosomal RNA". It matches the Rfam family "Bacterial small subunit ribosomal RNA", at positions 524 to 776 of the family's 1533-position model. The record is from RNAcentral.
UACGGAGGGUGCAAGCGUUGCUCGGAAUCAAUGGGCGUAAAGAGCAUGUAGGCGGCGUGCUAAGUUUGGUGUGAAAGCCCGGGGCUCAACUCCGGAGGCGCAUGUGAUACUACGAGUCUGGAGGACGGACGUGGAGGGUGGAAUUCCUGGGGUAGCGGUGAAAUGCGUAGAUAUGUGGAGGAACACCGGUGGCGAAGGCGGUUAUCUAGUUUGUUCCUGACGCUGAGAUGCGAAAGCAAGGGGAGCAAACAGG